RNAcentral lists this ribosomal RNA (266 nucleotides) under uncultured bacterium. Its description in RNAcentral is "partial 16S ribosomal RNA". It matches the Rfam family "Bacterial small subunit ribosomal RNA", at positions 90 to 354 of the family's 1533-position model. The record is from RNAcentral.
UUCGAGUGGCGGACGGGUGAGUAACGCGUGGGUAACCUGCCUUACACAGGGGGAUAGCGCCGUGGAAACAGGUGCUAAUACCGCAUAAGCGCACAGGGCCGCAUGGCCCGGUGUGAAAAACUCCGGUGGUGUAAGAUGGACCCGCGUCUGAUUAGCUUGUUGGCGGGGUAGGGGCCCACCAAGGCGACGAUCAGUAGCCGGCCGUGAGAGGGUGGACGGCCACAUUGGGACUGAGACACGGCCCAAACUCCUACGGAAGGCAGCAG